This 465-nucleotide ribosomal RNA is filed under the name uncultured bacterium. RNAcentral describes it as "partial 16S ribosomal RNA". It matches the Rfam family "Bacterial small subunit ribosomal RNA", at positions 28 to 507 of the family's 1533-position model. The record is from RNAcentral.
GACGAACGCUGGCGGCGUGCUUAACACAUGCAAGUCGAACGGAAAGGCCCUGCUUGCAGGGUACUCGAGUGGCGAACGGGUGAGUAACACGUGGGUGAUCUGCCCUGCACUUCGGGAUAAGCUUGGGAAACUGGGUCUAAUACCGGAUAGGACUGCACUUUAGUGUGUGUGGUGGAAAGUUUUUUCGGUGUAGGAUGAGCUCGCGGCCUAUCAGCUUGUUGGUGGGGUAAUGGCCUACCAAGGCGGCGACGGGUAGCCGGCCUGAGAGGGAGUACGGCCACAUUGGGAAUGAGAUACGGCCCAGACUCCUACGGGAGGCAGCAGUGGGGAAUAUUGCACAAUGGGCGCAAGCCUGAUGCAGCGACGCCGCGGGGGGGAUGAAGGCCUUCGGGUUGUAAACCCCUUUCGCUAGGGACGAAGCUUUUUGUGACGGUACCUAGAUAAGAAGCACCGGCUAACUACGUG